RNAcentral lists this long non-coding RNA (1674 nucleotides) under Solanum tuberosum (potato). RNAcentral describes it as "long non-coding RNA (STUB_LNC009929)". Lineage: Eukaryota; Viridiplantae; Streptophyta; Magnoliopsida; Solanales; Solanaceae. The record is from RNAcentral.
UUGGAUCUAACCUUGCUUCACCUGUUGAUGCAAGUAGCGCACAAGCUGUAAGAGGAACAAAUCUUCCACAUUCUUCAGGGUUGGCUCAUAAUUCGGUUCUUCAAAAGGUAUUUUGUAUUUCACAUUCUCUAUUAAUAGUCUGCAUAUUGUUAUCGAUAUCCAAGGUAGUUGUUGUUUUGUUGCUUGUGUAUCUCCUCUUAUUGUUGACUCUAUUAAUGUUCUUCUGGAAGUUGUCCAAUGUGUUUUCUUCACCUUUUUUCUGAGGUUUUUCGGUUUUGAUUGCCUCCUUUCUUGAGACAGUUUACUUGUCAUGUAUAUGACAUAAAGAGGAUAAGAUUGGUAGGCAUAUCGUAUCACUCUAGAAGAACGAGGAUCUCUGUUUUCUGAUUUACUGCCAUGCCUUGCAUUAUUAGUUUUCAUUUUUCCUUGUAUGUUUGUGGAAUGAUUCUAGUUAUCCUCUGUAGUGAUAUAAUAAUUCUUGUUAGAAUAGGAUUGUGUAUACCUAACAAUUCUAACUCACAGUUUAUUCUGAUGAUACUAUUAUGGACUCUCUAUUAUAAAGCUUCCAGUGAAUUUGGUUUUUGGAGUCUUGAAUUAAUAGUGUGAAUUUGAGAUAAACAUUGAAUUAGAGUAAGGUAAAAGAAGAGAAGAUGUGAAAAGAAGAUCUGUGAACUUCUUAUUGAAAAAAAGAGGACAUGACCUAUAUGUUUCUGGUUUGAAAAAACAUAAAGGUAAAAAAUUGGUUUUCUGGUUUUGUAUUAUAGCAUGUCACUGACAGGUCUGAUUGUGAUGCAUUUGUAUGUUUGUCUACUGUUUUCUCCCAGAUUUUAUCAUACAUAUGUCUUGGAUCACUUCUUUAAAAUCUUCCACUCUUAGAGUACCUAAAUUGUUCUUGUCUACCUUGCUAAAUAUGAUUGAAAUAUCUUCCUGAAAACGUAAUAUUUCAACACUAGAUAAAUGAACGGAAGAAACGGAAAAGUUCAUAACAGAAACAAACGAAACAAAAUACCAGAAGUGUGAGCAUAAUAGUAUCAAUUCUUGAUCUUGAUUUCAAACGUCGUACCAAUAUGAGGGAGAGUGAGGGUGGAACAAGUAAGUAAAGUUAAGUUCCCUUAGUAUAUUUAGAAUUAGUAAAUGAGAAUUGUUGCAAGUUGACACUUCUUUAGUUUCCAAGAAAUGCUGCUAAAUUGUUGAAAUUCAAUAUAAGACAUCAAAAGCUAAGGAUUGUGAUGCAUUUGUAUGUUUGCCUACUAUUUUCACCUAGAUUUUAUCAUUCAUAUUUGGGUCUUCUUUGUACAUGUUUGGGAUCAUUUAACUGUUUGCCUACUGUUUUCUCCCAGAUUUAUUUUGAUUGUAGUGUGUAUGAAUUGUGCAGACAUAGAUUUCAAGAUAAUAUGAGUAUAGGCAGGAUUCCAUAUCACCCAUGUUUGCCUACUGUUUUCUCCCAGAUUUUAUAGUUUUUGUACAUGUUUGGGGAUCAUUUAACUGUGAAGGGGCUGGGAAUUGAACAAUCACUAGUGAGCAUAUGCAAUACAUGAUUCUCUAACUUAUGAUUUAAUUUUGAAUGUGCAGGAAAAGGCCGCUGAUUGAAUUUGAUGAAUAGAGGACAGAAGUAAACUCGAUCUAUUAUAUUGUAGUGAACGAUAAAGAGUUUUUGUACUAUUAUCAUAAAUG